RNAcentral lists this unclassified non-coding RNA (347 nucleotides) under plant metagenome. RNAcentral describes it as "partial contains small subunit ribosomal RNA, internal transcribed spacer 1, and 5.8S ribosomal RNA". The record is from RNAcentral.
UUUCCGUAGGUGAACCUGCGGAAGGAUCACUAAUAGGAUUGAGUGUAAGUGAGGGCUGGGUGAGUGUAUGGGUGGGGGAUGUUGGAGAUAUUGGUGGAGGUGGAGGUGGAUAUGUGAGUGGUAAAAUUAAAGUGUUAGUAUGAAAGUGAUAGUAUAAAGGUGAUAGUAUAAAAGUACUAGCAUGUUUGUAUCAUCACUCCAAUUUUACCAUCAACAUGUUAUCACUAACACACUACCAUCGAUCACCAUCCCCAUGACACACACAUCUGCCUUUCACCGGCUUCCUUGUCUGACUGUAUGGGUUGAAUGAAGAAUGACAACUUUUAACAAUGGAUCUCUUGGCUCUU